This 503-nucleotide ribosomal RNA is filed under the name Phoma herbarum. Its description in RNAcentral is "eukaryotic LSU rRNA". The stretch from base 152 to 305 matches the Rfam family "5.8S ribosomal RNA". The record is from RNAcentral. Lineage: Eukaryota; Fungi; Ascomycota; Dothideomycetes; Pleosporales; Didymellaceae.
AAGGAUCAUUACCUAGAGUUUGCGGGCUUUGCCUGCUAUCUCUUACCCAUGUCUUUUGAGUACUUACGUUUCCUCGGCGGGUCCGCCCGCCGAUUGGACAAUUUAAACCCUUUGCAGUUGCAAUCAGCGUCUGAAAAAACAUAAUAGUUACAACUUUCAACAACGGAUCUCUUGGUUCUGGCAUCGAUGAAGAACGCAGCGAAAUGCGAUAAGUAGUGUGAAUUGCAGAAUUCAGUGAAUCAUCGAAUCUUUGAACGCACAUUGCGCCCCUUGGUAUUCCAUGGGGCAUGCCUGUUCGAGCGUCAUUUGUACCUUCAAGCUUUGCUUGGUGUUGGGUGUUUGUCUCGCCUCUGCGUGUAGACUCGCCUUAAAACAAUUGGCAGCCGGCGUAUUGAUUUCGGAGCGCAGUACAUCUCGCGCUUUGCACUCACAACGGCGGCGUCCAAAAGUACAUUUUUUACACUCUUGACCUCGGAUCAGGUAGGGAUACCCGCUGAACUUAA